RNAcentral lists this small RNA (148 nucleotides) under Pongo abelii (Sumatran orangutan). RNAcentral describes it as "Metazoan signal recognition particle RNA (ENSPPYG00000036456.1)". It matches the Rfam family "Metazoan signal recognition particle RNA". From Rfam's summary of the family: The signal recognition particle (SRP) is a universally conserved ribonucleoprotein. It is involved in the co-translational targeting of proteins to membranes. Lineage: Eukaryota; Metazoa; Chordata; Mammalia; Primates; Hominidae. The record is from Rfam by way of RNAcentral.
GCUGGGCGUGGUGGUGCACGCCUGUAGUCCCAGCUACUUGGGAGGCUGAGGCAGGAGAAUUGCUUGAACCCAGGAAGCAGAGGUUGCAGUGAACCAAGAUUGCACCACUGCACUCCAGCCUGGGUGAUAGAGUGAGACUCUGUCUCAA